CCUGGUCUCCUCAGAGGUCACACCAUAAAGCGGCGGCACUUUCGUUCCCAGUAAACCGAGGUAUACAUAAAGCUGGCCGCGGUGAUGGAUCUCAUGCUCGCUCAUGAGCGUGAUCCAUUUUCCCAUCCGCAGCUCCGAACCCGCCGGCGUAAGACAUUUUCUUUCCAGGUCGUCGUGGGUCAGGGUUGAAAAGAUCGCCAUCGACUCCUCAUGCAAACCGUUAAAGAAUGUCAGGAUAUUGUCAAAUCCUUCCGCGAGCUCCUUUCCGCAUC
RNAcentral lists this unclassified non-coding RNA (272 nucleotides) under uncultured bacterium. RNAcentral's name for it is "contains 16S-23S intergenic spacer region". The record is from RNAcentral.